UAUAAACUUAGAAAUGUGCUAUUUUGGAGAUUUGCCCAAAAGAAAAUCCAACACUAAUAAUAAAUUAUAAAAAUAAAAUAAAAAACCUGUUUACCUUAAGUUCUAAACCCUAAACAUGCCCUAAACCCUAACUACAUAUCUCAAUACCCUAUAUCUUAAAUUCCAUUUUAUACAUAAAUAUUCAACUUUAAACAUUUUAAUUCAAACAUUUGGAUUAUAUAUCAUACAGAAAUAUUCAAGUUUAAAGAUUAUAAUACAAACCCUACAUAUACAUACCCCUAGCCUUACUUAUAACUCCAAACCCUAUAUCAUAUUCCAAACUCUAUACAAAAAGUAUUAAAUCAUAACACUUUAAAAUUAUAACACUUAUUUUAUACUAAAUUAUGAAAUUAUACAAAGUAUAAAAUCUAAAUAUAAAAUCAGUAUAUUCAUAAUAUAACUUCAAUCCCUAAACUUCAAACCACAUACUUCAUAAGAAGAUAAUUUGUACUGUUUUUUAUGAGCCAUUGAUUGAUUUUUAAAUCAAAGUUCCAAAAUCAAUCUCCUAUCUAUCUUUCCCCCAUGUUUUCUAUUGGUUUGGCGCGGAUCACCCUCUGCACCGUUAGAUCAUAACGAGCCAACGCUUGAGAUUUUUUUUUUCAAUUAUUUUCUGAGAACAGAUCGCGUUGGAGAGAGAUAGAGAGAGAGGGGUCAGAAAAAAAGAGAGAAAGGCGACUGGGUACUGUGCUCGACGCCCUAGCAAACCUCGGCCUCCUUUUCUUCUUCUUCUUCCUCUUAAAUAAAGUGGAGGAGGCUGAAGAAGCUUGGUGGUGGUGGUCUCACCACCGACUCCAUAUCAGAAGAAGCAUGGCUCGAGACGAGAAGACAAAGGGCUGGUGAUUCAAGAACAGAACAUAACUCGUGCUCUGUUUUUUCUGUGGUGAUGCGACGACAGCACUCUGGAGGCUGAAGGCGGAUGCUCUGGAGGCUAGAGGCUGGAGGCUGGAGGCUGGAGGCUGGAGGCUGGAGGCUGGAGGCUGGAGGCUGGAGGCUGGAGGCUAGAGGCGGAGGAAUUAGGGUUGUAGGCAGAGGCUUAGAUUUUUUUUUUUUUCGACAGGUAGAGAUCGAAAUCUGGUUAUCAUGAGUUGGAAACAGAAGAGGAUUUAGGUGGUGCUCCUUUACCUGUCCAAGAAGUUGAUGAUAUGGGUGAUGAUAUGGAUGAUGAUAGUGUAUAUGUUAGGGAUGAUUGUGAAGGUUUAUUAGUGGUAGAUUGAUGAUAUGUUGUAUGCUUGUGUGAUGGUUUGUAUGAAUGUGAUAAUGUUGUGUUAUGGGAUUUGAAUAAUUAUAUUGAUUUUUGGAAUUUUAAUAAUUUAUAUUGUUUUUA
Long non-coding RNA from Brassica napus (rape), 1363 nucleotides. RefSeq lists it as uncharacterized. The transcript is spliced from 2 exons. The record is from RefSeq and is a predicted model, not a curated record. Lineage: Eukaryota; Viridiplantae; Streptophyta; Magnoliopsida; Brassicales; Brassicaceae.